ACGUAGGACGCAAGCGUUAUCCGGAAUUACUGGGCGUAAAGGGCGUGCAGGCGGUUUCCUAAGUCAGGCGUGAAAGCCACGGGCUAAACCUGGGGAGGACGUUUGAUACUGGGGGACUAGAGUGUGGUAGAGGGGUGUAGAAUUCCGGGUGUAGUGGUGAAAUGCGUAGAUAUCCGGAGGAAUACCAGUGGCGAAGGCGGCACCCUGGGCCAUAACUGACGCUAAGACGCGAAAGCAUGGGUAGCGAACGG
RNAcentral lists this ribosomal RNA (251 nucleotides) under uncultured prokaryote. RNAcentral's name for it is "partial 16S ribosomal RNA". It matches the Rfam family "Bacterial small subunit ribosomal RNA", at positions 525 to 775 of the family's 1533-position model. The record is from RNAcentral.